CGGCGGACGGGUGAGUAACGCUGGGUAACCUACCCUGUACACACGGAUAACAUACCGAAAGGUAUGCUAAUACGGGAUAAUAUAUUUGAGAGGCAUCUCUUAAAUAUCAAAGGUGAGCCAGUACAGGAUGGACCCGCGUCUGAUUAGCUAGUUGGUAAGGUAACGGCUUACCAAGGCGACGAUCAGUAGCCGACCUGAGAGGGUGAUCGGCCACAUUGGAACUGAGACACGGUCCAA
This 237-nucleotide ribosomal RNA is filed under the name uncultured bacterium. RNAcentral's name for it is "partial 16S ribosomal RNA". It matches the Rfam family "Bacterial small subunit ribosomal RNA", at positions 96 to 334 of the family's 1533-position model. The record is from RNAcentral.